RNAcentral lists this long non-coding RNA (1079 nucleotides) under Prunus dulcis (almond). RNAcentral's name for it is "sRNA ncRNA". The record is from RNAcentral. Lineage: Eukaryota; Viridiplantae; Streptophyta; Magnoliopsida; Rosales; Rosaceae.
CUUGAAAUUAAAGGCACGAAAGAAAGAAAGAACGAUGACUUUGUAUUACAUGCCACACAUGGAACAGCUAACAAUCCUCUCAGUACAAAACUAAUGUUUCUGGCAUUUGAAUCAAGAAAUACAGUGUCAGAUCAAGACAUGUCAAAUUCAUCAUUUAAUUGUCUCCCUAGCUCUGCUUCAAGUUUCACAUGAGAAUACAAGAGAAAUUGCAAUGAACAAGCAAAGAGAUACCUUCAAUGUAGCACCAUGCUCGUACAAUCUGAAACACAAAUACAUGACAGACUAUGAAUUUUGGUGCUCAUAUUCACUUAACUGCUCUCAUCAGCCAGCCAGCCAGCAAAGAUGAAAAUCAACUCAUGCACACACAUUUAAGAAGAAAAUACUUCAAAACUUUGAAAACUAAACCAAAGAAAAUAAACCCUUUUAACAAGCUUGCCAAUCAAACACAAUCACAUAUACUAUAUGGCAACUUGAGCAAUCAGAGAACUUUGAAGACCAGUUUGGUAUGGAAUUCCACAUCAAAUUCAGUAAUACAAAUCUCAUCAUCUUGCACACAGAGACAUACAAACUAUUAAUUUUGGAUAUAGCAAAGCAAUCAGAGAACUUUGAAGGCAUGAUAUGAGGUUCUACAUCAAAUUCAGAUAUAUAAAAAAUUCUAGUUUCAUCAUUUUGCUCUGCCAUUCUUCAAUUUUUGAACUUUCCUGCUUUUGGGCAAAACUUAGUUGUGCAAGAGAAAGCACUCUAAUUCACUGCACAACUGAUGCCAAAGUUUCAAUUUUGCACCGACCCUUUGCUCGAAAUUUCCCUGCGACUAUAUUUCCAAGAAGCAGGGGGCUAACUGGUGCAUUACAAUGAAAUAAUUCCAAGAUAAUACUUGAUAAUGAAAAUCCCAGUAAAAUCCAUACAAUAAUUACAAAAAAAGAUAAAAGGAAGUAAAGGAUACACAUCCGUAACGAGAUGCUUGGUAUCCAUCAGUUUAUAGUUCGCUUUUUUUUUUUCAGAUUUGUACUCGUGAGUGAAAUCAGAUGUAGGCCAAAGAGAGAAUUUUAUAGGGGGCUUGGGAUUUUAGGGUUUCUAUG